This 232-nucleotide ribosomal RNA is filed under the name uncultured bacterium. RNAcentral describes it as "partial 16S ribosomal RNA". It matches the Rfam family "Bacterial small subunit ribosomal RNA", at positions 118 to 350 of the family's 1533-position model. The record is from RNAcentral.
UGACCAACCUGCCCCUUGCUCUGGGAUAACCCCCGGGGAAACCGGAGCUAAUACCGGAUACGAGACCGAGCGACAUCGCUCAGUCUGGAAAGUUUUUCGGCAAGGGAUGGGGUCGCGGCCUAUCAGCUUGUUGGUGGGUAAUGGCCCACCAAGGCGACGACGGGUAGCCGGCCUGAGAGGGCGACCGGCCACACUGGGACUGAGACACGGCCCAGACCUCCUACGGGAGGCA